AGCAGCCGCGGUAAUUCCAGCUCCAAUAGCGUAUAUUAAAGUUGUUGCAGUUAAAAGCUCGUAGUUGAAUUUCGGGAUCAGUUGGUCGGUCGUGCCUCGGUACGUACUGGUCAAAUUGAUUCCUACCUUCUGACGAACCACGAUGUCAUUAAUUUGGUGUCGCGGGAAAUCAGGACUGUUACUUUGAAAAAUUAGAGUGUUUAAAGCAGGCUCGCGCUUGAAUACAUUAGCAUGGAAUAAUGAAAUAGGACGUUUGAUUCUAUUUUGUUGGUUUCUAGGAUCGACGUAAUGAUUAAUAGGGAUAGUUGGGGGCAUUAGUAUUCAAUUGUCAGAGGUGAAAUUCUUGGAUUUAUUGAAGACUAACUACUGCGAAAGCAUUUGCCAAGGAUGUUUUCAUUAAUCAAGAACGAAAGUUAGGGAUCGAAGACGAUCAGAUACCGUCGUAGUCUUAACCAUAAACUAUGCCGACUAGGGAUCGGAUGAUGUUAAUUUUUAAU
This 497-nucleotide unclassified non-coding RNA is filed under the name uncultured Acaulospora. Its description in RNAcentral is "SSU rRNA". It matches the Rfam family "Eukaryotic small subunit ribosomal RNA", at positions 569 to 1074 of the family's 1831-position model. The record is from RNAcentral. Lineage: Eukaryota; Fungi; Glomeromycota; Glomeromycetes; Diversisporales; Acaulosporaceae.